UACGUAGGGUGCAAGCGUUGUCCGGAAUUAUUGGGCGUAAAGAGUGCGUAGGCGGUUUGUCGCGUCUGCUGUGAAAGCCCGGAGCUCAACCCCGGGUCUGCAUUCGAUACUGGCAGACUUGAGUGUUGCAGGGGAGACUGGAAUUCCUGGUGUAGCGGUGAAAUGCGUAGAUAUCAGGAGGAACACCGGUGGCGAAGGCGGGUCUCUGGGCAAACACUGACGCUGAGGAGCGAAAGCGUGGGGAGCGAACAGG
RNAcentral lists this ribosomal RNA (253 nucleotides) under uncultured bacterium. RNAcentral's name for it is "partial 16S ribosomal RNA". It matches the Rfam family "Bacterial small subunit ribosomal RNA", at positions 524 to 776 of the family's 1533-position model. The record is from RNAcentral.